Molecule: long non-coding RNA, 3617 nt
Organism: Lolium perenne
Lineage: Eukaryota; Viridiplantae; Streptophyta; Magnoliopsida; Poales; Poaceae
Source: RefSeq, a predicted model, not a curated record
GGCUAGCCAGGUGUGAGCGUUCGUGUGGGCGUGACGGUGAGGGGUAGUGCGGGCGAGCGAGGAUGAGGGGCGUCUGGUGGUUGUCCCUGGCGGCGCACGGCGGAGCGAGCGGUUGGAGCGACCGAAGGUCAGGCGGCGCGGGCGCAUGGUGCUGCACGGAGGUGGGCCCGGUGGUGGAUGCGCGCAUGGUGCCCAGUUGUGCGCCGCCUCUCCCCCGGGUUGAAGCCGGCACCUCCUCGGCGUCCGCCUGCCCGGUACGGAUCCGCUCGUUCUCUCAACCUCCCGUCUCAGCUCCUCUCUCUCAGGCAGCAGCAGAUACGGGCAUACGGCGGUCGCGUCGACAACGGGUCCGACGGGGAGCGCUCGCCGAGCGACGACGGUGCUUGGACCCGGCAACAGCGAUGGCCGGCAGCGCGCCCCGAGCGACGGAGGUGACUGGACGCGGCCGAGAAGCAGCAAGGAGAUGCGUUGCAGUAGCGCAAGCCAUGCCCUGGAUUGGGCAUUGCUGUUUUGACGCCAAGAGAUGACAUUGCUUGCUGAUGAGGCGAGCAGCCAACUUGUUUGUGAGAUACGACAACACACCUUGACUUGAUUCGAGCUCACCAGCAUGCAAAUGUGUUUCUAGGUUCGCACAUUUCUGUGAUUAGAGAGGAUACAUACUUGUUGGGCAGCAGGCUCUUAUCAGAGGCGGUGGUGGAAAAUCCUAGCGCGUGGGGUUGCAUGGGCUGGUGCAGCUGUAGCAGCUGUAGCUGGUGGACGGAGUGGCUGCGCUACCUGGUCUGAGGUAGAAGAGAAGAAGGAAGUAUCAAGAAGGCAAAGCCGAUGGUUCCACUUUUCAAACUAAAGAUUCGUCAUUGGCUAGCUAAGAACUGGCUGCAUCCUGAGCUGGUGACCAGUGUUUCACCCGUCGCCUGAUGGCUAGCAGGCCAUCAUUCAUGGUAGUUUGCAUCUCCCCAUUUAAAUAUCAUUGACAUAUGGUGGUUGCUGUUGCAUACUGAAACUAGGACCCUAAUUUUUUGUGUGUUCUCCCUGAUUAUGUUAAUCAGGUCAUGUUUGCUCUGUUGGCAAUAUUUUUAGUACCCGUGCUCACAUUUAAAUAUCAUCUCUAUUUUUUUCUGUCCAAAUGAACUUAGUGUGGUAUGCUAUCUUGUGUUAACCCGUGUUGUCUAGCAGAUCUGACAUUCAUGGAAAAAGUUCAGGUUUUGUGUAGAUGGUUUGGUGGAACAAUGGAAUAUUAAGUUGUGUAGGCUAGCACUUUUUUGGAAUUAAUUUUUUUUUUUGAGAAACACAGUACAAACACAGACGCUCACAAACACGCGCUUACUCUCACCCCUAUGAACGCACACACUUCCGGAAGACUGAGCCGGUGGAUCGGAUCUUGAAAUUGACGAAGUCAUCACGGGCGCCUCGCUGUUGAUGGGAACGUCGCCUCCCACUGAAAGAAUAUUCCGCCUUUAUGAGAUACACAUAUGUCAAACCUGGGGUUUGAACUCUGGUGGGCUGGGGUACAACCACCCUCCUAACCACCCAACCUCAGGUUGGUUCUCUUUUUCGGAAUUAAAUAAUGGGUGAACCUCUCUGCCUUUUACUCUAGGUGUGCUGUUGGAAGCUGGUCAUGAUGGCUACUGAAAGUCUGAUAGAGUGGAGAAUAAAAAGGCUGAAAACACCAUUGAUAAUGUAGUAAUAGAAGACUUGAAGGUGCCUCUCGCGAUCAUUUGCUGAAUCCUUGAAUGGUAUAUUUAUCUCCAGGCUGCUUUGAUUGCUUUAGCUGCUCAUGCUUCUGGCCCGACUGAGGACGAAAGACUGAGUUUUUUGGCUUCUCCUGCUGGAAAGGAUGAGUAUGCUCAAUGGAUUGUAGCUAUCCAGCGGAGCCUUAUUGAAAUUAUGUCUUCAUUCCCUGCAGCUAAACCUCCUUUGGGAGUAUUCUUUGCAACGGUUGCUCCUCGUCUACAGCCACGAUUCUACUCCAUAUCAUCAUCUCCAAAGUAUGCCUGUGUACUUAAUUAAUCUUCCAUUUAUUACCCAUUAUAGAAGAUUCACCAGUAAGGUUGUAAAGCUCUCAUUUUGUGGGGUAAAUAUAUGUAUGCACGAUGCUUAAAUUCUUCGACCCAUGGCGCUGCUCACAAGGUUGUGGCUACAGGGGAUGCCAAGAGAGGUAACUUGGCGAUUUUUUCUACUAAUUGAGCAGUGCACAGAUGAUAAAGGGACGUAGAUAGAGACCCUCUAUUUGUUUUCUAUUCAUGAGCAUGGUUUGGGCUAAUUAUAUAGUAACACAAGGACUUUGGAUUGCUGUUAUAGCCACCCUGUCCUCUUGCUAUGACCUGGUGAAUCUUUUUUCCCCUACCCAUAAGCUCCCAACUGAUUAAAAUCUACUUGGCCAGGUUUCUGCUCUAUUCGAGUGGGGAGAUUGACUAGAGCAAAAGUAUUACUUAUAAGAACCAUUUUCUUGUUGUUUCACUACGAUUAUUGGUUCCCUUAUUUUUAAAAUACUUGAGUGUGGCCAUAGAUCCAGAAAGCAUCCAUUACCAGGUAUGAAUGCUGAAUUUUAGUUCAAGACAUCACUAAGUUAUCAGAUUCUUCUAAAUCCAGUUUCUAUAAUCUCUCUGGCCUUUGAGGAUGGAUGUGGCCAUCGAUCCAGAAAGCAUCCUUAUUUAUUGCUCAACACCGAGUCAAACUAUUUUGCAGGCUAAGUACAUGAGCUCCCGCCUCUCCUCGCCUCUCAGCUGCCGGCGGUGGAGGUCUGGCUCUCGGCUACGGCGGGACCCAGACGUGUGCGGUGUCUCCGGACUACGCGAUCUACGCUUGGUGUCUUUGGCGGAAGCCUUAGCCGGCCUGGGAUGGUCGCCAGCAUGGGGGCGCGACCUGAAUAAAGGCGGGGGUCCUAGGAUUUCAAUUUGCGUCAAGAUGAUGAUCUGCUAGAGCUAUGUCCCCUUUGAUCUGGCUAGAGUGACGGGUUUCGGGAGGCGCCGCGGCGAUCUUCCAUGGGCGAUUCACGCCUGGAGACUGCUGGAUCGGGUGGGACUCGGUCGUGCGUACCUCUGUUUUACUCUGGCCGUUUGGUUUCAGAGAGAGCGCUUCGAAGCUCUGCUGGCCGUUAAUAUCAUGGGGCAUAUUUUCGUUCCAUGGUGCUGGCAAAGAAUGUCCCGAAGGCUGAGAUCUGAGGACUAGCAAUGGAGGUUCCAGUCUUUGGAGUGAGGAGGAGUUGGUUUGGUGUUUCAUGACUUGGAGUAGCGACAUGCAAGUGGGGCGAUUGCAUAGGAGAAGACCAGAGUCUUACCUUUCAGGGUGGAAAUCCAAGGUCUGGCCUUAAUUGGUUGUGCCUAGCAAUGACUUUGUUGAAGACAUUUGUUUUGAAAGUGAGGAUCUUCUUCAGGCUGAAAAUCCAGAUCUUUGAUCGGGCGACGAUAGCGCUUGUGCACUGUUCUCUUCUUGGAGACGCCGCUUCUGAAGAAGUUGUAUUUAUGGUGCUAUCUUGAUGGUGCGUAGUGGGAUUUUUUUUCCGUAAUUCUUCUUCUUUUUUGGUUGUGUGCUUCUAUAAGGCUGCUAGAGUAAUGCGUUGUGGCAUAGGUUGAACGUAAUUGGUAUCUCCGAUAUUAAUAUAUGCUCUUUGUCGAAAA